This 362-nucleotide ribosomal RNA is filed under the name uncultured bacterium. RNAcentral describes it as "bacterial SSU rRNA". It matches the Rfam family "Bacterial small subunit ribosomal RNA", at positions 335 to 717 of the family's 1533-position model. The record is from RNAcentral.
ACUCCUACGGGAGGCAGCAGUGGGAAUCUUAGACAAUGGGCGCAAGCCUGAUCUAGCCAUGCCGCGUGUGUGACGAAGGUCUUAGGAUCGUAAAGCACUUUCGCCGGGAAGAUAAUGACGGUACCCGGUAAAGAAACCCGCGUACAUCCGUGCCAGCAGCCGCGGUAAUACGGAGGGGGUUAGCGUUGUUCGGAAUUACUGGGCGUAAAGCGCAUGCAGGUGGUUUGUUAAGUCAGAUGUGAAAGCCCGGGGCUCAACCUCGGAAUUGCAUUUGAAACUGGCAGACUAGAGUACUGUAGAGGGGGUGAGAAUUUCAGGUGUAGCGGUGAAAUGCGUAGAGAUCUGAAGGAAUACCGGUGGCG